GGGGGUGACUGGUUUCGACAGGUUGCUGUAGGUGUGUGAGGUGCAGGCGGGGGUUUAUCGGUUGGCCCCCUCAUCAAGCCGAUAAAAACUAAAAAGCCAAUGAGUCUAACGACUACAUGCUCCCCUGCGCUGCGUAAGCAGUAACGGGCGAGUCCCCGGGAUCGCCUGGUACCGGGCUCGUUAAACCACUGAAAGGGUGACUUCGGUCUACCGGACGGUGGUACAGGCUGGGUUGCCGCGACGUCCCCUGACGGCAGCCGAGACCAGGGGACACGUCCUCGAUCAGGGUUGUCCGAUCCCCUGCAGAGGUCACGCGAUUCGGACCAAGCCUGUAACGACCCUCCAUGUCACGCUUCUUGGACGCGGGUUCAACUCCCGCCACCUCCACCA
Molecule: transfer-messenger RNA, 390 nt
Filed under: Holophaga sp.
Lineage: Bacteria; Pseudomonadati; Acidobacteriota; Holophagae; Holophagales; Holophagaceae
Rfam family: transfer-messenger RNA
About the family: Bacterial tmRNA, also known as 10Sa RNA or SsrA, is named for its dual tRNA and mRNA-like properties. Its role is to liberate the mRNA from a stalled ribosome.
Source: RNAcentral